This 648-nucleotide ribosomal RNA is filed under the name Tsingymantis antitra. RNAcentral's name for it is "partial 16S ribosomal RNA". The stretch from base 1 to 448 matches the Rfam family "Bacterial large subunit ribosomal RNA", at positions 667 to 1300 of the family's 2925-position model. The record is from RNAcentral. Lineage: Eukaryota; Metazoa; Chordata; Amphibia; Anura; Mantellidae.
CAUGGUCUAGCAGGUCUAAUCAAGCAAAAUGAAUUUUAGUUUGACCCCCCGAAACCAAGUGAGCUACUUCAAAACAAUCAUAUGGACUAACCCGUCUCUGUUGCAAUAGAGUGGGAUGAUUUUCAAGUAGAGGCGACAAACCUAUCGAACUUGUAGAUAGCUGGUUACUUAAGAAAGGAAUAUUAGUUCAACCUUAGGUCUCCCAGUUAGCACAAAAACCUCGCAAGACUUAAGAGCCAUUCAAAUAAGGCACAGCUUAUUUGAAGCAGGACACAACCUACGACAUAGGGUAAUACACUUUUUCAAUACACACAAAGUGGGCCUAAAAGCAGCCACCUUUAAAAAAGCGUUAAAGCUUAGUGGUAAUUGUACUCAAAUACCUUAAUUUUUUUAAAACCCUUCAACAAUAUUAAGUAACUCCAUAAACCUAUGGAAGAUAUAAUGCUAGAACUAGUAACAAGAAAGUGAAUUUCUCCAAAAUGCAAGCUUAAGCCAGAAUAGACCACCUACUGGCAACUAACGUAACUGAUCUCACUAUAGCAACACCUACCAGAAAACCCUACACUAUCUUACGUUAACCUUACACUAGAGCAUUCAUGGAAAGAUUAAAAGAAAAAGAAGGAACUCGGCAAACCUUAACCCCGCCUG